AACCGGUGUAUUUAGUUCCAGUGACCUGAGGAUGCAUAUGACACAUUCAGCAAAAUCGGGCUAGGGAUUAAUAUUGCUAAGGUCAGGGUGGUCAUUUUGGGCACACAGCGGGUAAUCUUUCAUAAGGGUUUACCACUCUUCCGUAUCUUAGUUCAUCUAUAAUGAACUGGCAGAGAGAGAUGGUUAUUAGAAAAUAAAAUGCACUUAGAGUCCCCCAUGAAUCAUUUAUGGGAGACACCAUGCUUAGCAAAGACUAUGAAAAUAUGGCUGUUAAGGGCAACUCAGGCACUAUUUCUGGAUGACUUUCAAGCAUGACCACUAGCUACAGGACUGGGCCUGGACACAUUAGAAGAAUUUAGGCCUUCAGGAUGAAAAGGAAAAUGUGUGGGCAGAGACUGAGUCCAAGGCAGUGGCCUUCACAAGUCACCCUGUGAUGGUGUCCAUACUGCGAGGCAUCCCUCACCCGAGAAAGCAACUUUUUCUGCACGGGAUGACUCUGGUUACAUUUGCUUGUUCCCGCCAUGAAUAAAAGGAAGAGAGGUCAGCUGAAGAGGCAAUUAAUUCAACACAACUGAGGUUUGGCAAUUAACUUUUAAAUAUGCAAGCAGUUGAGGAGAGCGAGGAAGUGGUUUUCUCUUCGCACAGCCAGUGAAAGAUGGUGCGAUGUUAUCAAGGCUUUCGGGUAACCAGCAAAAAGUUUUUCAGUUACCACUCUGCCCACAGUCAGAGUAUGAGUGGUGAUAGCCUAAUGAUAGGGGUGCAGGAGCCCAAAGAAGGAGAGAAUUGGUGCUCUCUAGGUUAAAUAUAAAUAGAACUUGUUAAGAUCUUUCUAGAAGGCUGGGGGAAGCAAUCAGCUAGCUAAAGAUUUGUGCAGGAGUUUGCCCCAGGGAACACUUUAACCUAGGCUUUUUAUUUCCUUUGCAGUCUACGACUAAAGGAAAAUGGACGAGCUUCCCCACAGGAUGAGGGGGUGCACCAAAUGAACUACACUUUGCUGUUGAAAAGUAUCACCUGGGCGGUUCAGCUUCCUGAACAUGUCAGCUUCUGGACAUUCUAAGAAGAGGUGGGGUGGCCCAAUAAUUUUUUGUUUUUUUAAAGAAAUCACUGGAGAUGUUUGGGAAACACUAGAUUGGAUUUCUGUCUUCUAGAUAUAGCAGAUCAUAA
This 1164-nucleotide long non-coding RNA is filed under the name Homo sapiens (human). RNAcentral's name for it is "HSALNT0212959". The record is from RNAcentral. Lineage: Eukaryota; Metazoa; Chordata; Mammalia; Primates; Hominidae.